UUCCUGGUAGUCCAGUGGCUAAGACUCUGCAUUCUCAAUGCAGGUGGCCCAGGUUCGAUCCCUGGUUAGGGAA
Transfer RNA from Ovis aries (sheep), 73 nucleotides. It matches the Rfam family "tRNA". Rfam says of the family: Transfer RNA (tRNA) molecules are approximately 80 nucleotides in length. Their secondary structure includes four short double-helical elements and three loops (D, anti-codon, and T loops). Further hydrogen bonds mediate the characteristic L-shaped molecular structure. tRNAs have two regions of fundamental functional importance: the anti-codon, which is responsible for specific mRNA codon recognition, and the 3' end, to which the tRNAs corresponding amino acid is attached (by aminoacyl-tRNA synthetases). tRNAs cope with the degeneracy of the genetic code in two manners: having more than one tRNA (with a specific anti-codon) for a particular amino acid; and 'wobble' base-pairing, i.e. permitting non-standard base-pairing at the 3rd anti-codon position. Lineage: Eukaryota; Metazoa; Chordata; Mammalia; Artiodactyla; Bovidae. The record is from Rfam.